UCCAAGUUACGUUGAUAUUACUUUUAGAAAGAAAUAAGGUCUUGAUUGUGAGUAAAAAGAAGGAGAAGAAGUUGUUGGAAAAUAAGAGAGAAAACAAAGAAGAGGCAAAGGCUUGACGAAAAACGGACAGCUGCAAAUAUCGGCUGUAACAGUCCACAAAUCAGAGAGAAAUACAAACCUAGUAAGGUGUGAAGCCUUAAACAUUCAAAUCUUGUCCAACCAAGUUGAGUUUCAGGACCGGAGCUCGGUAGCGCUACGCAUGAGGGUGAUUAUGAAUGAGGAGACUGGAGAAAGGACGUGGAACAUGGUGGCUCCUUUAAAAAGGAUUUAUGUAAAUCUAGUGGAUAUUUGAAGAUAACUUUUAAUAGUCAAAAUGAUGUUUUGUAAUAUUUUCGAUAUUACACUCUUAUGAUAUAUGUACAGGA
Molecule: long non-coding RNA, 425 nt
Organism: Diospyros lotus (date-plum)
Lineage: Eukaryota; Viridiplantae; Streptophyta; Magnoliopsida; Ericales; Ebenaceae
Exons: 4
Source: RefSeq, a predicted model, not a curated record